This 104-nucleotide microRNA precursor is filed under the name Caenorhabditis remanei. RNAcentral's name for it is "mir-36 microRNA precursor family". It matches the Rfam family "mir-36 microRNA precursor family". The record is from Rfam by way of RNAcentral. Lineage: Eukaryota; Metazoa; Nematoda; Chromadorea; Rhabditida; Rhabditidae.
UUCCCCAGAUUGGAUCGGCACUUCGGCAGCUUCUUCUCACCGGUGAUAUAUCCCUCUAGUUGAUUAUCACCGGGGUUGAAACUGCCAAGGUCCGGCUCUCUCUC